RNAcentral lists this ribosomal RNA (543 nucleotides) under uncultured Methanosarcinales archaeon. RNAcentral's name for it is "bacterial SSU rRNA". It matches the Rfam family "Archaeal small subunit ribosomal RNA", at positions 339 to 886 of the family's 1478-position model. Lineage: Archaea; Methanobacteriati; Methanobacteriota; Methanomicrobia; Methanosarcinales. The record is from RNAcentral.
GCGCGAAAACUUUACACUGCGGGAAACCGCGAUAAGGGGAUACUGAGUGCCAGCAUCUUAUGUUGGCUGUCCGCAUGUAUAAAUAGCAUGUGUUAGCAAGGGCCGGGCAAGACCGGUGCCAGCCGCCGCGGUAACACCGGCGGCCCGAGUGGUGGCCACUAUUAUUGGGUCUAAAGGGUCCGUAGCCGGUUUGAUCAGUCUUCCGGGAAAUCUGACAGCUCAACUGUUAGGCUUCCGGGGGAUACUGUCAGACUUGGGACCGGGAGAGGUAAGAGGUACUACAGGGGUAGGAGUGAAAUCUUGUAAUCCUUGUGGGACCACCAGUGGCGAAGGCGUCUUACCAGAACGGGUCCGACGGUGAGGGACGAAAGCUGGGGGCACGAACCGGAUUAGAUACCCGGGUAGUCCCAGCCGUAACGAUGCUCGCUAGGUGUCUGGGAUGGUGCGACCGUUUCAGGUGCCGCAGGGAAGCCGUGAAGCGAGCCACCUGGAGUACGGCCGCAGGCUGAAACGUUAAAGGAAUUGGCGGGGGAGCGACUAACG